This 491-nucleotide ribosomal RNA is filed under the name uncultured bacterium. RNAcentral's name for it is "partial 16S ribosomal RNA". It matches the Rfam family "Bacterial small subunit ribosomal RNA", at positions 29 to 507 of the family's 1533-position model. The record is from RNAcentral.
AGUGAACGCUGGCGGUAGGCCUAACACAUGCAAGUCGAACGGCAGCACAGUAAGAGCUUGCUCUUACGGGUGGCGAGUGGCGGACGGGUGAGGUAUACAUCGGACUCUACUUUUUCGUGGGGGAUCACGUAGGGAAACUUACGCUAAUACCGCAUACGACCUACGGGUGAAAGCAGUGGAUCUUCUGACCUUGUGCGAUUGAAUGAGCCGAUGUCCGAUUAGCUAGUUGGCGGGGUAAAGGCCCACCAAGGCGACGAUCCGUAGCUGGUCUGAGAGGAUGUACAGCCACACUGGAACUGAGACGCGGUCCAGACACCGACGGGAGGCAGCAGUGGGUAAGAGUGGACAAAGGCGCAAGCCUUAUCCAGCCAUACCGCGUGUGUGAAGAAGGCCUUCGGGUUGGAAAGCCCUUUUGUGGGGAAAGAAAAGCAGCAGGUUAAUACCCCGCUGUUCUGACGGUACCCAAAGAAUAAGCACCGGCUAACUUCGUG